UACGGAGGGGGCUAGCGUUAUUCGGAAUUACUGGGCGUAAAGCGCACGUAGGCGGACGGAGAAGUCAGAGGUGAAAUCCCAGGGCUCAACCUUGGAACUGCCUUUGAAACUUUCUGUCUUGAGGUCGAGAGAGGUGAGUGGAAUUCCGAGUGUAGAGGUGAAAUUCGUAGAUAUUCGGAGGAACACCAGUGGCGAAGGCGGCUCACUGGCUCGAUACUGACGCUGAGGUGCGAAAGCGUGGGGAGCAAACAGG
This 253-nucleotide ribosomal RNA is filed under the name uncultured bacterium. Its description in RNAcentral is "partial 16S ribosomal RNA". It matches the Rfam family "Bacterial small subunit ribosomal RNA", at positions 524 to 776 of the family's 1533-position model. The record is from RNAcentral.